Small nuclear RNA from Oryctolagus cuniculus (rabbit), 103 nucleotides. The record is from Ensembl. Lineage: Eukaryota; Metazoa; Chordata; Mammalia; Lagomorpha; Leporidae.
GUACCUAACAAAAAGCACGUAUACUAAAAUUAGAACGAUACAGAGAUUAGCAUGGCCUCUGCACGAGGAUGACAUGCAAAUUCAUGAAGCAUUCCAUAUUUUA